GACGAACGCUGGCGGCGUGCUUAACACAUGCAAGUCGAACGGAAAGGCCCUGCUUUUGUGGGGUGCUCGAGUGGCGAACGGGUGAGUAACACGUGAGUAACCUGCCCUUGACUUUGGGAUAACUUCAGGAAACUGGGGCUAAUACCGGAUAGGAGCUCCUGCUGCAUGGUGGGGGUUGGAAAGUUUCGGCGGUUGGGGAUGGACUCGCGGCUUAUCAGCUUGUUGGUGGGGUAGUGGCUUACCAAGGCUUUGACGGGUAGCCGGCCUGAGAGGGUGACCGGCCACAUUGGGACUGAGAUACGGCCCAGACUCCUACGGGAGGCAGCAGUGGGGAAUAUUGCACAAUGGGCGGAAGCCUGAUGCAGCAACGCCGCGUGCGGGAUGAAGGCCUUCGGGUUGUAAACCGCUUUCGCCUGUGACGAAGCGUGAGUGACGGUAAUGGGCAAAGAAGCACCGGCUAACUACGUG
Molecule: ribosomal RNA, 468 nt
Filed under: uncultured bacterium
Lineage: Bacteria
Description: partial 16S ribosomal RNA
Rfam family: Bacterial small subunit ribosomal RNA
Source: RNAcentral